Molecule: long non-coding RNA, 740 nt
Filed under: Gallus gallus (chicken)
Lineage: Eukaryota; Metazoa; Chordata; Aves; Galliformes; Phasianidae
Source: RNAcentral
GUUAUGACUCCAUGGACAACGUUUGUCCUCUCCUGUACGUCCCGGCUGUGUCCUCACACACCUGAGAGCUGCUGAACCAGGUCAUCUAAAGGGUCUCGUUAUCACAAUAUCAGACCACUUCCUAUGCUGGAACAUUGUGAUCCUUAUGACAUCCCUGCAGCAGGACGUGGAGACCUCAGGCACAAGGAGCAGAGUACUUGCAGUGGGUCAUCCCACAGCAGCAACUAAACAUCUUGUAGUGCUGAGAGGAAUCUGGCCCUGCAGACAUUUACCUGUGACUCUCCUAGUUGUCUUUAUUUUUCUUGAUGCAAGCUGAUGUACAGACAGAGUCCUACCAUCUGUGCUACAACGGUUGGAGGCCCAAGAUUGACUAUGUUUUGGUACCAAGUCCUUCCAUCAUCAGCGUCCACAUAUUAAAGGUAAUGUCUUUUAGUGCAUGCUCAUAAGAAAGUUUGGUUCUGUUUGCUAUGACUGAUGAUAGCUGUGCGCCUUUGUUUUUGGGUACUGCAGCCCUCGAAAAGACAGUUUUUUAAUGUCUGCCACACAUCCAUGUCUCAGCUUUGCUGGCGUGAAACCAGAAAAGAUGGCACAUUUCGUUUCCUGUUAUCUCCAAUCAGUGCAGGGAGCUCACACCGCUGCUCACUUCAGCUUUGCUGAGAUGUGGAUGUUUUGGAUUUUUGGGGAGUCCACGCUUAUGGUGCGUGAUCAGUGCAGCUUAAGGGUGUAAAGGUGCAAAGUGA